CUAUUUAUCAUGACGAUCUGCAGUGCACAGCAUGGCUUCCGGCUGGUCACUGGGAAAUGCGACUCCAGGGUUUUGACCCUUGCUAAUCACUGGCUGAUGUCGUCAAAAGCAGACCUCCUCUUCUUUAUCUGAAGAUGUGUAGGGCAAACCACAGAUGGAGGCCGCAGGAAGGAACGGGGCCGUUUCUGAAGAAGCUGGAGUAAUAAAAGCUGAGAGUCCGGCUGAGACAAGCAAAGCUGCCAAGACUCUGACACCAGACCAGCUGCCUGGGAGAGACUUAGACCAACUGAGGCACUUGGAAGGGACACUCUCCAACCUGCUGAACUGCCUGACGGCUGUACACUGUGCUUCUUGCAGGUUCCCAGCUUUUAUGAGCUGUCACCCAUGCUGGGUGGGCUUUGGUGAAGCAGCUGUCUCUGAGUCAUUCCUGCUCUUGUAAGUAACCCUUCACCCAUAUUCCUGUAACACCAAUAAAACUCAUUGGUUCACCA
This 491-nucleotide long non-coding RNA is filed under the name Cricetulus griseus (Chinese hamster). RNAcentral describes it as "lncRNA (ENSCGRG00015031430.1)". Lineage: Eukaryota; Metazoa; Chordata; Mammalia; Rodentia; Cricetidae. The record is from RNAcentral.